AAAAAGUUUUAUUUACAUGUGCUUACCGUAAUGCAAAAUAUGUGAAAUAAAGAUUCUCAUUCAUUCAAGGUGGAGGCAAAGAGAAAACUGUCCUCCCACCGCCAGAGCGUGGCUGCAACUGGUGGGGGCCCAUGUACAGCUGAUCUCACAUCAGUGGACAGCAAAAUCGCGGCUAUAAUUGGGGAGGUCAGCGUGUGUGGUAUUGUGUCGGAAAAGGAGGGAGACACUGACGUGACUGAAACCACAGAGGAGCAAGUCCUUCCGGAGUCUGAAGCUGUAAAUGAACAGGAGGUUCAGGGUGAGGGGUUCUCAGAUGCAGAUGCACAGCGUCCGGCUCAAAGCAGUGCCCCUUCUGCGUCUGGCACGUCCAAAAGUGGUCGGGUACUCACUGACGCAGUCCUGCAGUUACAGCGAGAGACAAUAAACGCUGUCAACGGGGUUGCAGAUGAGCUACGGCAGAUGAGAGAAGUGAUGCAAGAAAUUGCACAAUCAUUAAAAGAUGCAGUUAAAACAUGAACCUUGAGUUUUGUCUUUCUUUACAAACGCCGCAUGACAUCCUCACGGAUUCUUGCACCUCGUUGAUAUCCCUCUUGUCGGCCAGGGGGCUGUGGCUCGGGGUCGUAAUGCUGGGGUAGAGGGAGAUCAGGAGGGAGAGGAAUACCGUUUCUCAGUGCUAUAUUGUGCAAAACACCACACGCCCUGACAAUCUUGCACACUUUUGCUGGAUGGUAUAAAAGUCUGCCACCCGAGGCAUCCAGAGCACGCCAUCUGCAUUUCAGGAUGCCGAUGGCACGCUCCACAACUGCGCGGGCACGAGAGUGGACCUCGUUAUAAUGAGUUUCCUCUGCGCUCUGCGGGUUUAAAAAUGGGGUGAGGAGCCAGCGUCUCAGGGGGUAGCCACUGUCGCCUGCAGGUUAUAAUUAUAUUAAAAACAAUUGUUACGGUUUCUACUUUUUAAUAUUGUUAAACUCACCAAGAAGCCAGCCAUCACGUACUGCGCCUGCAUUUAGUCUGUUCCCUACACUGCUAUGUGUCAAGAUAAAGGAAUCAUGUGUUGAACCAGGCCAGCGUGCCACAAUGUUUGUGAGGGUCAUGUUGGAGUCACAUAUGAUUUGCACAUUAAUAGAAUGCACAUGCUUUCUAUUAACAUAAGCAAAUUCAUUUUCAGAUGGUGCCCUUAUAGCAACAUGAGUGCAGUCAAUUGCGCCGAUUACAUUUGGGAAACCAGACAUUGCUGCAAAUUGCGUUUUAAUUUCGGCCUGUUCUCGCACAGUGUAGGGGAACCUGAUGUAUCGACUAACCAUAUUAAGUAUACCAUUUAAAACGACAGAUAUUAUGGCACUCAGGGACGGCUGUGAUAUACCAGACCUAUAGGGUGAGAUGAUAGAUUCCAAUAGAAUUAUUUCAUAUACAAAAAGGUCUUAGAGACAAAUUUGAGGAUUACUUAUAGUUUUUUUAUAUUAUUAAUUUACCUGUCUGCCAAUUCCCGCUGGAAACAGCCGGUUGCCAAGAACCCCAGAGUGGUGAGGACUUGUAUUUGGACUGGGAUGGCAUGGUUCCGGCGUGUUGCCCUCUCUAAUACUGGACCCAAUUCAGCACAUAGAUCCAAGAGCACAGCUCUAGGGAAUCUAAAUCGGCUUAUUAGCCAGUCAUCAUCAUGGGCCAGGAAAUCAUCAUGGUCCCUGAAAACUCGUUCUCUCCUUAUUCUGCCAUUAGCGUAAUCCUCCAACAGUGCCAGGAGUGCCAUCAUGAAGCAUUACAUACCCGGGUCACCGGAGAAUUUAUAUGUUUCUAGCAAAUAGACUGAUCGUUAACACCUUGACAAAAAUCACUUAAUUAAUUUGUGGGCGAAAAUUUAAGACGAAAAUGUUAUAGUGAACACAUGCUUCUUGACGGUUUUGUAAUGAACACCGUAAUAGUUAGGACCGAUGAUGAGUAGCGAUUGUGCUUCAUGACUGUAUUUGCAGACUUUGACAUUUUAUGAUAUAGGCUAUGUACAUUAAGGAAAAUAUUUCCUUUUUACACUGUGUUCUGCAGUUCUCUAAUAAAAGGGUAUUUCAUGCUAUUCUGUAGGCUAUCACAUGUAUCGCGCCAUGUCCUCCUGUGCUCCCGUUGUGGACAAUGUGACUGUAAGGCAGCGCUGAUUAUUAUUUUAUUUUACUUUUAAUACAUUUUGAAUUACGUUUGGAUUUUACUAGAUGUAUAUAGCCUAAAACAAUCGGCACAAAUAACACUGUUGGAUUUAAUCUUCAUGAUAAUGUGGAUAUAACGUAUGAAAUGGAGUGAAAAUUAAAUGUCAUUCAUUCUUAUAAUCGUUCUUCUCACAUUUAUUUUCUACAAUCUAACUUCAGUUCACGACCUCACCAUCGGUGUCGCCAAUUCCCUUUGUCUCCAGAAUGUGCGUACGCACGGCUCAAAGUUUGCUUAAAGGUGCGCACAUUCUCCCGUCAAGUUUGUUUUUUAUAGAUCACAACCUUUGCGUGGGAACUGGCGUACGUACGUUUCCAGCCCCGUUUUGUGCGUACGCACGCUUUAUAAAUGAGGCCCCAGACCAUGUGCUACAUGAGGGGUAAAGGUUGCAGUCAUAUUCAGUAUUUCAUGCAAUUCAGCAACACACACCUCUCUACAGGAACUAAAAUU
This is a long non-coding RNA of Cyprinus carpio carpio, 2640 nucleotides long. The record is from Ensembl. NCBI's taxonomy places the organism in Eukaryota, Metazoa, Chordata, Actinopteri, Cypriniformes, Cyprinidae.